RNAcentral lists this long non-coding RNA (903 nucleotides) under Musa acuminata (dwarf banana). RNAcentral's name for it is "long non-coding RNA (MACU_LNC001409)". Lineage: Eukaryota; Viridiplantae; Streptophyta; Magnoliopsida; Zingiberales; Musaceae. The record is from RNAcentral.
CCAUUCAAUAUCUGAUGGAAAGCAUCGCCAGGCUGGGCCGGUUGAGGGAACAGCAUCGCCUGCUUCAUUGAAGGGUUUGCGAGUAAUCUCUGUUUUCUUAAGAUUACCUCUAUCGGUAUUGAUGUGAGGAUUGUGUCCAACUUUGGCACAUCCUCCUCAGCCACAAAUACACCGAUCUCCUCCCAUGGUAUUGCAUCUGCAAAUGGAAGCACUAUAUCAUCUGCUAUGACAACAGGGAUGCAGCCAAACACCACUGCUUCUACCAAUCUAGGACUCCAUGGAGCCCAACCCAAGGGGCACAGGCAGAAAACUGCCCGCUGCAUAUCUUCAUAAUAAGUAGUAGGGUGGUCGGUAGAGAUGUCAAAAAGAGGGUUGUUCUUAAAAUUCUCCCACACCGAUGCCCUUGCACCUCUGCAUAUCAGAAAUCAUCAAGACUCAUUAAAUUUCAGCCAUCUGAAAAUUUUGUUCAGUCAACAUUCAGAUUCAAUCGCACUGGCGAUUUCUGAGUACAAGAAAUCUAAGCUUCCUGAUAUUAUGGAAUCUUACCUUGCGUAGUAUCCACCCUCUGGAUCGUUCCCUACAUCAUAAAAUAAACCACGGAAAUAAACAAAAAUAGAGCGAGGAGUAUCUGGAGGAAUCAAAUGAGUCUGCAUUUUCUGGGGGGGUGCAUAUGGGGGAAUGGUGAUGGAACCGUCCUUCAAGCAAACAUGAUUUCUCUGCCCAAAGGUUUGAACCAGCGUGGCACGCUUAAGCAUGUGCAGGAUUCCACGUUCAAUUGCUUUUUCUUCCUAUGGCAUCAUAAAAUAGUCAUUACAAGAGGAAACAAAGAAAGUAGGUAAAAACAGAAGAAACAAAUACAUCACAAAAAGGAGGCAGAAAUUGCUUGACCAUUAACGAAUGCUC